GAGAGUUAAAUAGUACGUGAAAUUGUUGAAAGGGAAACGAUUGAAGUCAGUCAUGCUAGUGAAAAAUCAGUUUGACGGGUUUUGAGUUCAGGAGUAGAGGCAGGGUCAAACCGUUUUUCUUUUGAACUUGGGAUUUGUUAGAUGUACUUUUUCUUUGGCAGGUCAGCGUCGAUUUCGAAGGUUGUAAAAUACUUGGGGGAAAGUAACUCUGCUUCGGGAGAGUAUUAUAGACCCUGGGGGAUGCAGCCUGCGGGAUCGAGGAUUGCAGCAAAUGCCUUUGGCUUGUCGCCUGAUCUCUGGAUGUUACCUCGCUUGUGACAACAUUCUUGCCACCUGUGGGUACUAAUGCCCAUUAGGUUAGAGCGAUCAAAAAUUUUGCUAAGGAUGCUGACGUAAUGGCUUUAAACGA
RNAcentral lists this ribosomal RNA (409 nucleotides) under uncultured Diversispora. RNAcentral's name for it is "partial 28S ribosomal RNA". The record is from RNAcentral. Lineage: Eukaryota; Fungi; Glomeromycota; Glomeromycetes; Diversisporales; Diversisporaceae.